UACGAAGGGGGCUAGCGUUGUUCGGAAUUACUGGGCGUAAAGGGCGCGUAGGCGGUGUGUCAAGUCAGGCGUGAAAGCCCCGGGCUCAACCUGGGAACCGCGCUUGAGACUGGCACGCUCGAGUUCGGGAGAGGAUGGUGGAAUUCCUAGUGUAGAGGUGAAAUUCGUAGAUAUUAGGAAGAACACCAGUGGCGAAGGCGGCUCACUGGCCCGGUACUGACGCUGAGGCGCGAAAGCGUGGGGAGCAAACAGG
This 253-nucleotide ribosomal RNA is filed under the name uncultured bacterium. RNAcentral describes it as "partial 16S ribosomal RNA". It matches the Rfam family "Bacterial small subunit ribosomal RNA", at positions 524 to 776 of the family's 1533-position model. The record is from RNAcentral.